AGGGAGGUAUCUCUGCUUCUCCGCAGGCAAACAAGACAGCAAGGGAGAUUACUUAGUCAGGUCCUUGAUUUAGGCAUAUUUCUGUGAAUUAAUAAUGUAGAGGAAGAAUAGGGAAAAAAUGUGAUAGCAAUUUUGGGAGCAGUUUUUAUGAAGAUUAUAUAGAAGUAGGCUACCAUAGGGGAGAGAUCAGGAAAAAGAACUAGGGACUUAGAACAGUAUUCCUCCUACCUAAAUUAAUCUUAAAUGAAGUCCAUUAAUUAUAUGUAUACUCUACCAAGCAAUAGAGAAUACCUUUCAGCUAAAAUUUGAAUCACUGGACUGACCAAACUGGGUGUCACAGUUAAGAUCCCAAAGUGAUGUGUAAUGGCUGGGACCUUCACUUGUCUGAGUAUGACUUGAGUUCAAACCACGGUUCCCAGAUUUUUGGAAACGGUCAUCUGUAAAUAGUACUGAGUGAUUGUUUUUAUUUGUUUGGUUUUUAUUAUGCUAAGAGUUAUGUUCCACCAGCAUGCAAAGGAACAGAUGAAUCAUUAAUAACCAAUAGUUACCAGCAUUUGAUUUUUCCAAAUUGUAAGUUCUGAGUCUGCAAUCAAAGAAAUUUUAUAAGGACCCUUUUCUUCUGAGAUGUACGUACACAUGCACAACAGAUGCAUUAUUAUUUUCUAUACCUAAUUGCUAUUCAAGUAGCAAUUCAGAUUUUUUUUUCUGUAGAAAUCAAUUUUCUUUAGACAGCUUUUAAGUUAAAUUUUGUUUUAAAAAUAGAGUAACAAAUUCAUUUUACUAUACUUGAACAAACCUCUUGCAGUUAAUUGGGCUCUAAUGUUAUUAGCAUCUAUUUUAUGCAUGGGUAUGAUGCUGAAAAAUUAACUUGAUACCAUUUAUUUUUCUGCAGUUCUUCUGAGUUCACUGAUUCCAGAGCUAUCAGAGUAGCAGAAAUGUUUUUGCUUCAUUAUGCUUUUUUGGUUCACUUCUUAUGUAUUCUCAGAAGCUGUGAAGAUUGAAGAUAUGGAGGAUGAUAUUCUAUCAAGAAUAGAAAUUUAGAAUCA
Molecule: long non-coding RNA, 1046 nt
Filed under: Parus major (Great Tit)
Lineage: Eukaryota; Metazoa; Chordata; Aves; Passeriformes; Paridae
Description: lncRNA (ENSPMJG00000001201.1)
Source: RNAcentral